UGGGGAAUAUUGGACAAUGGGCGAAAGCCUGAUCCAGCCAUGCCGCGUGAGUGAUGAAGGCCCUAGGGUUGUAAAGCUCUUUUGUGCGGGAAGAUAAUGACGGUACCGCAAGAAUAAGCCCCGGCUAACUUCGUGCCAGCAGCCGCGGUAAUACGAAGGGGGCUAGCGUUGCUCGGAAUCACUGGGCGUAAAGGGUGCGUAAGCGGGUUUCUAAGUCAGAGGUGAAAGCCUGGAGCUCAACUCCAGAACUGCCUUUGAUACUGGAAGUCUUGAGUUCGGGAGAGGUGAGUGGAACUGCGAGUGUGGAGGUGAAAUUCGUAGAUAUUCGCAAGAACACCAGUGGCGAAGGCGGAUCACUGGCCCGAUACUGACGCUGAGGCACGAAAGCGUGGGGAGCAA
Molecule: ribosomal RNA, 399 nt
Filed under: uncultured bacterium
Lineage: Bacteria
Description: bacterial SSU rRNA
Rfam family: Bacterial small subunit ribosomal RNA
Source: RNAcentral